ACGAACGCUGGCGGCGUGCUUAACACAUGCAAGUCGAGCGGUAAGGCCCUUUCGGGGGUACGACGAGCGGCGAACGGGUGAGUAACACGUGGGUGACCUGCCCUCAGCUCUGGGAUAAGCCUGGGAAACCGGGUCUAAUACUGGAUAUGACUCCAUGACGCAUGUUGUGGGGUGGAAAGCCUUGUGCGGCUGAGGAUGGGCCCGCGGCCUAUCAGCUUGUUGGUGGGGUGANGGCCUACCAAGGCGACGACGGGUAGCCGGCCUGAGAGGGCGACCGGCCACACUGGGACUGAGACACGGCCCAGACUCCUACGGGAGGCAGCAGUGGGGAAUAUUGGACAAUGGGGGCGAACCCUGAUCCAGCAAUGCCGCGUGAGUGAUGAAGGCCUCGGUUGUAAG
RNAcentral lists this ribosomal RNA (399 nucleotides) under uncultured bacterium. Its description in RNAcentral is "bacterial SSU rRNA". It matches the Rfam family "Bacterial small subunit ribosomal RNA", at positions 29 to 429 of the family's 1533-position model. The record is from RNAcentral.